AACAUUAACCCUCCUCCUACUCUCUCUUAUCUAUCUUAAUCUACUUGGUUUCCUCAUACCUUUCUCAGGAUAUUCUCCGGUGGUGAUAUUAUUAGCAUAGAAGAAUCUGUUAAGCUCAGGAGGGAUAGCGCCAUCGAUGAUCUUCAACCUUUGCUUCUCAAUUUCGAUCUUCGGUGACGCUAUCUAUCCUGAGUUUCAUCGGUUCAUCUUGCUCUUGGUUCUCGAGAUGAAGACAUCUCAUCUAGUGGGGCAUUGAAUGAGAGUCGAGGUUUGCCAUGUGCAUCUGCUCUGCACCGCUCCUUUUAUUGGGUUUACCAUGCAACCAGAGAGGAACAGCCAGCUGCAGUACCGCUGCCCCUACUCCAGCAUGUGCCCGUGCCCGUGCCCGUACCCGUACCCGUGCCUGUGUGCCUCGGUUACAAGGGCAGAGGAACAGACUUUUAAACAUCGAUCGACCGCUACAAACAAGUUGAUGAUCAGUUGACAAAUUAAAAGUAGUUUUCACUCCAACUACUGAAUCAUGUGCCAUAACUUCAUAUAGACUUUGUUCAACAUUGGUGUCCAUUAAUGUCUGCAUGUCAUUAUCCUAGGAAAACACAUAGGUAAAAAGACAUAAUGCCAUAAUGUGUCUUGCCGAAUUUAGACAGUAGAGGCUUGUAAUUCACAGUAGAAAUAAAGCAUAGUGGAAAGACAAUAUCAAUGUUUCGAGAAAUUCAGACAUCGCCUCACUCAGAAGGUUGAUCCAUUCCAUCCAAAGUUCGAACC
Hibiscus syriacus is the source of this 765-nucleotide long non-coding RNA. RefSeq lists it as uncharacterized. NCBI's taxonomy places the organism in Eukaryota, Viridiplantae, Streptophyta, Magnoliopsida, Malvales, Malvaceae. The transcript is spliced from 2 exons. The record is from RefSeq and is a predicted model, not a curated record.